UAAUACGUAGGGUGCAAGCGUUGUCCGGAAUUAUUGGGCGUAAAGGGCUCGUAGGCGGUUUGUCACAUCGGGAGUGAAAACUCGGGGCUUAACCCCGAGCCUGCUUCCGAUACGGGCUGACUAGAGGUAUGCAGGGGAGAACGGAAUUCCUGGUGUAGCGGUGAAAUGCGCAGAUAUCAGGAGGAACACCGGUGGCGAAGGCGGUUCUCUGGGCAUUACCUGACGCUGAGGGGCGAAAGUGUGGGGAGCGAACAGGAUUAGAUACCCCUGGUAGUCCACACCGUAAACGUUGGGCGCUAGGUGUGGGACUCAUUCCACGAGUUCCGUGCCGCAGCUAACGCAUUAAGCGCCCCGCCUGGGGAGUACGGCCGCAAGGCUAAAACUCAAAGGAAUUGACGGGGGCCCGCACAAGCGGCGGAGCAUGCGGAUUAAUUCGAUGCAACGCGAAGAACCUUACCUAGGUUUGACAUAUACCGGAAACACCUAGAGAUAGGUGCCCCGCAAGGUCGGUAUACAGGUGGUGCAU
RNAcentral lists this ribosomal RNA (526 nucleotides) under uncultured Marmoricola sp. RNAcentral describes it as "bacterial SSU rRNA". It matches the Rfam family "Bacterial small subunit ribosomal RNA", at positions 521 to 1046 of the family's 1533-position model. The record is from RNAcentral. Lineage: Bacteria; Bacillati; Actinomycetota; Actinomycetes; Propionibacteriales; Nocardioidaceae.